CUCCAACAUCUGGCCAAGAUAUGCAAUCAAACAUUUCACUUAUUUGCUAAGUACACGCAUACAUACGUACAUUACAAGUCGUACCAUUGCAGUCCUGAUUAGUACGUACCAAUAGUUAAGGACUUAAGGUAUUAAAUGGCUUGCAGCAGGGCGUGUGUGACCUGGUCUGGGUCAGCAAGCCUUCAAAGUUCAGUCUUGGAUCACCCCAUCCAUCUGAAAGCCAAGGACCAUGACCAACAUGCAGCAAGGUACAGAGAGUACAUUCCAAGUCUCCAUCUAGCUAGCUGUGCAAGAACUAACCAUGAAUUUCUUGCCACUGAUCAAUUGCCCCGUGUUCACUGCGAGAGAUAACAACAACACACAGCUGCAUCAUGCGUGCCUGGUCGAACUUACAUCGAUUAUGUUAUGUAACAAACCUCGGCCCGGAUUGGGUGCCCACACGCAACUAAACAAACAAGAAGAUGACAAGCGGCGCCAAAUUUAAAACAGAAUGCUUCGGUUCCAAUGUACCCUAACCUAUGCUGACAGCAAAGUUAUAUAGUUAAUUACCAAACAGGGAAGCAUCACUCACCGGAUAUUCUUCCGAUCCCGAUUCCAUUCCGUCCACCAUCUCAAGAACACAUUAUGUAAUCAGUUCAGGAGCAUUGUUGCUUGCUAGUCAGGCCCAAGGUCAUUGCAUUGCAUUGCAUUUCUGGUUAGCAGCAGUUAAGGUUACAGCUGAGCUGACCGACCGGAAACGUUGACCCCAUCUCGCCCAGCAGAGUCUUGAGAUCACUGGCUGGGAUCAUUAUUCCAAAGAUGAGAAGCCGGUACGUUGACCGUUGACCGGGCACAAAGAUACCGCUGGCAUAUUCCAGCUGGCCAGCUGUGCAAGAGCAAGCCUGCCAUGCAUUCCCUGCCAUUGAUUGCUCUCUGUUGACUGAAGGAGGUACCAGAGCUACUGAAAGAGAUGGCCCGUGGGUAGCAGACCAGGAAGCUUCUCAGAAGCAGCUGUCGCCGAUCUCCGGCCUCACGUUGAAGGGGCGAUAUCUUCUCCGCCGGAAAUUCUGAAUGACAUCUACGAUGGACGUGGACUGAAUUCCCCGGUUGGAGAACGACCUCGAAGCUCUGGGGCCAACUUCUUGUUUGUUUCUGAAUCGCAUUCACAGAAAAAUUGACCCCCGGGCUGAGAGAGCAAGAGAAAGCGGCCAUUUGUUUGCUCCUCCUUGCUCCUAUCCGCCUUGUCGCCUUGGCUGCCAACACCAGCAACAAAACUCUAAGGCCAAGGGUAUGCACCUUUUCACUUUUGUUUCCUCUUCUCUUGGGAGAUUGCUUGCCGCUUUCUCUCGUGGUAGCUAGAUAGCAUAUGCACUUUUUUCACUCCUCUUCGCUGCACUCUGAGAGGUUGCUAGCUAGCUGGUUCUUCUCUGGUGGUGGCUAACUGUUGGUGGUUCCACAUGGCCGUGGUCAGCAGAGCCCGUGCUUCCCUCCCUUCGCCGUCAUCGUCGCCAUUGACAGCCUUCUCCCCUCGGUCGCCGCAGCCCGAGGUGGCGGAGAGGAUGUUCACACGUGGAGGGAGCGGCCGGUCGUCGUCGUCCAGUGCCAGCGGGGCCAACAGGAGCGCCAGCCUCAGAGAGAUCGACGAAGAGGCCGCCAUCUUGCACGAUGCUUAUGAUGAUGACGGCGUAGGGAAGCUGUAUGUCGCCGUCGGGAAGGACGUCAAGGACGGCAGGUCCAACCUCGUCUGGGCAGCUCGGAACCUCCUCGCCGGUGAUCCCAAGCUUGUCCUGCUGCACGUCCACCAGCCUGCCGACAGAAUCAUGAUAGGAUUAUGCAAGGUUCCAGCAAGCCAGGUCGAAGAAAAGGAGCUCAAAGCAUACAGAAAGAUUGAGAAGGAGGAGAUGAACACACUUUUAAACCAGUACCUCAAUUUCUGCAGAGUUUCUCUCAAGAUGCAAGCUGAAACGCUGGUGAUCGAGAAGAACAGUCCUGCAAAUGGGAUUAUCGAGCUCAUUGAUCAAAAUCGCAUUACAAAGCUUGUUAUGGGAACAUCUUCCUUCUCAGUGAAGAGGAAAGUACCAAAAUCAAAAGUUGCAGCCAGUGUGCAUCUGCAGGCCAAACCAUAUUGCCAGAUCUUCUAUAUUUGCAAAGAGGCUCUUGGUUGCUCUAGGGAGGCCACUGAGCUUUGUGCAAAAGUAGAGUCACCCCGAAGUAGCUUCGCAAGCACUAUCUCAGAUCAACCUGAGUUAACUCCAAGAUCCCUAUCACUGCCACCAGGGCAUCCAGGUCUCUUAGCCUCUACAGGCCAACAACCCCUUCCACGACGGUCCAACUCAGUCAGUUAUCCCUUGUCCGGAUUGAUAGCAGACAGUGUAGAAAACAUGUCAGCUGCAAGGCGGCAGUCAAUUGAUAGUCUGUUAGGCUCUACAGAUCAACAGCCCCUGCCACGGCGGUCCAACUCAGUUAGUUAUUCCUUGUCUGGAUCGAUAGCGGGCAGUGUAGAAAUCAUGUCACCUGCAAGGCGGCAGUCGAUUGAUAUGACACCAACAGAUUCCUCUCCGAGUUCCAGCCAGCAAAGUACUGGUGGGUCCUCAUUGGGUCUGAGGGAUUUGGACAGCAUGGAUGGUUCACCAGUGCCUGUUUCAGUUGCAAGCUCUGAAGAACAUCAGCACUCUACAGUGGAAAUACGUGAAAUGUUUGAGCAACUGCACCGAGUCCGCAAUCAGCUAGAGCGCUCGAAAAAGGAAGCAUCUGAGGGCCGGCAGAAAGCCGAGAAGAACCUGUUUGAAUCUUCUAUGAUGUUCAAAGCACGGGAGAGUUCACUCCGCAACGAAAAAAAGGAGGUAGAGGAAAGGCUAACAAGAGAAAAGGCUGACCUUGAAAAAGAGCACAUCCAUGUAUGCAACGAGCUGCAGAAGGCAAAUGAGCAAAGAGCAGAAUUGGAGAGCAAGCUUCUUCAGACAAACACCCUAAUGGAAGAGCUCCAACAGUUGCAAGCAGAGCUGCAGCGCGAGAAGGACCAUGCUGUUAAAGAAGCUGAAGAAAUGCGCCAAACAAAUGGUAAUAGUGUAUUUGGCUCAACUAGUGCUGUUGCCCUAACAGAAUUCAGCUACAGAGAUAGAAGAGGCAACGGACAACUUUAAUGACUCCAAAAAGAUUGGCAGUGGUGGGUGUGGAACCGUCUACAAGGGAUUUCUCCGUCAUACUACCGUAGCCAUAAAGAAAUUCAACCGUGAAGGCACAACAGGAGAUAAAGAGUUCAAUGACGAGGUAGAAACACUUUCUAGGAUGAGGCAUCCAAACCUUGUCACUCUGAUAGGAGUGUGCAGGGAGGCCAAAGCGUUGGUCUUCGAAUUCCUGUCGAAUGGAAGCCUAGAGGACUGUCUGCAGUGCGAGAACCAAAGAGAGCCGCUCUCAUGGCGAAUGCGCAUCAGAAUAGCUGCCGACAUCUGCACGGGACUUAUCUUCCUCCACUCUAACAAACCAAAAGGCAUUGCCCAUGGCGAUCUGAAGCCUGACAAUGUCCUUCUUGACAAUAGCUUUGUUUGUAAACUGGCAGACUUUGGAAUCUCUCGUCCCUUGGAUCUGACAAACACCACUGUCACCCCUUACCACCGAACAAACCAAAUCAAAGGCACAAUGGGAUACAUGGAUCCAGGAUACAUUGCCUCAGGGGAGAUCACAGCUCAGUAUGACGUCUACUCCUUUGGUGUGGUUCUGAUGCGGUUGCUGACUGGCAAGAGCCCCCUAGGCCUUCCAAAUGAGGUGGAGGCAGCCUUGAGCAAUGACAUGUUGCAAGAUAUAAUUGACACUUCUGCAGGGGAAUGGCCACCUGAGUACACUGAAGAGUUGGCAAGAUUAGCACUCAGAUGUUGCCGGUAUGAACGAAAGGAGCGGCCUAAUCUUGCAAAUGAGGCCUGGGGUAUCCUGCAAGCAAUGAUGAACUGCCCAGACGAUAAAUGCAAGCCACCAACAUUUUUCAUCUGUCCAAUGACACAGGAGAUCAUGAGGGAUCCACACAUUGCUGCUGAUGGAUUCACAUAUGAAGGUGAGGCUAUCAAGGACUGGCUUCAAAGGGGGCAUAAAAUGUCCCCCAUGACCUACCUCGGCUUCACACACCAUGAGUUAAUACCAAACACUGCCCUUCGUUUUGCAAUUCAAGAAUGGCAAAUGCAACAGCAACCGUGAUUUUUAACAUUCCAUUUAAUCUGUACAGUCAUGUUAGGGAGUCAAGCAAAUGGUUUGCAAGUGUGUAUAGUCUGUGUAGAAAAUUUCAUUUCCCCCACUUUAGCAGUCAGCGCUUUCUCAAUGUUUUGGGCCCACAACCAAGAAGUGAUGUACUUACAUGUUUCCGGUAACAUGUGUUUGGGAUGAACUGACAUGGCAUGUAACUCUCCAAGAGAGUGGGUAUUCAGG
This 4395-nucleotide ribosomal RNA is filed under the name Triticum aestivum (bread wheat). RNAcentral's name for it is "partial small subunit ribosomal RNA". Lineage: Eukaryota; Viridiplantae; Streptophyta; Magnoliopsida; Poales; Poaceae. The record is from RNAcentral.